GUGUCAGCCGCCGCGGUAAUACGAAGGAUGCAAGCGUUAUCCGGAUUCACUGGGUUUAAAGGGUGUGCAGGUGGGAUAAUAAGUCAGUGGUGAAAGCCCCCGACUCAAUCGGGGAACUGCCAUCGAUACUGUUAUUCUUGAGUGUAGUUGAGGCGGAUGGAAUAUGACAUGUAGCGGUGAAAUGCUUAGAUAUGUCAUAGAACACCGAUCGCGAAGGCAGUCCGCCAAACUAUUACUGACACUGAAACACGAAAGUGCGGGGAUCAAACAGGAUUAGAUACCCUGGUAGUCCGCACCGUAAACGAUGAUCACUCGUUGUUGGCGAUACACUGUCAGCGACUAAGCGAAAGCAUUAAGUGAUCCACCUGGGAAGUACGACCGCAAGGUUGAA
This 391-nucleotide ribosomal RNA is filed under the name uncultured bacterium. RNAcentral describes it as "bacterial SSU rRNA". It matches the Rfam family "Bacterial small subunit ribosomal RNA", at positions 505 to 898 of the family's 1533-position model. The record is from RNAcentral.